GAUGAACGCUGGCAGCGUGCCUAAUACAUGCAAGUCGAGCGAACCGAUGAGGAGCUUGCUCCUCUGACGUUAGCGGCGGACGGGUGAGUAACACGUGGAUAACCUACCUAUAAGACUGGGAUAACUUCGGGAAACCGGAGCUAAUACCGGAUAAUAUAUUGAACCGCAUGGUUCAAUAGUGAAAGACGGUUUUGCUGUCACUUAUAGAUGGAUCCGCGCCGCAUUAGCUAGUUGGUAAGGUAACGGCUUACCAAGGCAACGAUGCGUAGCCGACCUGAGAGGGUGAUCGGCCACACUGGAACUGAGACACGGUCCAGACUCCUACGGGAGGCAGCAGUAGGGAAUCUUCCGCAAUGGGCGAAAGCCUGACGGAGCAACGCCGCGUGAGUGAUGAAGGUCUUCGGAUCGUAAAACUCUGUUAUUAGGGAAGAACAAAUGUGUAAGUAACUAUGCACGUCUUGACGGUACCUAAUCAGAAAGCCACGGCUAACUACGUG
Molecule: ribosomal RNA, 497 nt
Filed under: uncultured bacterium
Lineage: Bacteria
Description: partial 16S ribosomal RNA
Rfam family: Bacterial small subunit ribosomal RNA
Source: RNAcentral